GCCGGGCCCACCCGUCAGCCUCCUUCUUUCCUCCUCCUCUCUGUUCUGCGCCGCGGCACGCACGCGUCGCCACGCGCCGGCCAUCCCCGGCUUCCGUGCCGCGCGCGUCCUCCGCUCGCCCCAUCCUCCACGACGACGCCGCGGCCUUAUCCUUCCCCGCUGCCGUGUUCUCCUUCUCCUCCCCAUCUUCCUCCUCCUGGAACUCGAGCAGAGCUCGCCCCCAUCGCCGCGCCGACGAACUCCGGCCGCCGUUCCUCGAUUUCGCGCGCCCACGGCCCCCUCACCUCGCCCUCCACCUCCUCCAGCCUCCUCGAGCUCGCUCCCGCGUUUUCCCGGCGGAAUCGAGCCCGCGCCGCCCGGCCGCCAUUGACGCCGCCGCGAGGAGCUCCGUCGGCCGCCGUCGAUUCGCCGUCUCCGGGCCGUUGGUGCAGCCCUCCGCCCGCCGCCGCUGUUCGUCGUCGCGCCGCCCCGUCGUCGCUCCUCUCCGCCCGUGCCGUUGUUGGUGAGCUUUGCCGUCGCCUGGAACAUGCCUUGCGUGCGCCUCCGGCCCCUCUCCAGCCCUGCUUCGCCGCGCCGCCGUCCGCCGCGUCGCGCGCGUCGUGGGUCUGUUCGUGGACAUGAAGAAGAAGAUGAGCAGUGGUAGAAGCUAAUAACAAUCUUUGUUGUACUUGUGUGUGUUUGAGUUUGCAAAAAUCAUAGAAAAAUAUAUAUAGAUCCAAAAAUAGUGAAACUUGUUUUGUUAGUUUCCUUUUGCUUAGAUCUACUCCUGAAAAAUAUAGUUUUGCAUGUUACUGUCCUGUAGAUUUACUUGUGGUUUAAUAUUGCAAAAGUGAGUUAAAUGCUUAGUUAUUUGUGUGAUGCUCUAAAAAUGCUAAACCAAAUUUUGUUAGGCUCCUUGUGAAAUGUUCUUUCCAGUGGUACAACUUGCUUGCAUGAAUCUCGCAUGUUGGUUAGCGUUUUGUUUCGAUUUUGUGCUUGGUCUGAAAUGUUGUUUAUUGCAUUAAUAUUUUCUGAAAAUGAUAAAAUGGCAAAACCACUUUUGUUAGCCUUGUUUACAUGUUUAGUUCCUGUGCAAAUUUUAUGGAAAUUGUUUGGACUCGUUUGCAUGUUCUUUUUUUUAUCUUAUUUAGAGUAACUAAAAAUUGAUAUAUUUAUGAUUAAUUCUAGGAAAAUGCUUUUGAUGUAAAUCCAAAUUUUCAUGAGUUCCUUGUAAUGUUCUUUGCUUUCUCAAUUUAAUUUGUGAUUUAUGUUUGUUUAAUAAGUUUAUUUCCUAAUUCUUGCUCUAGUUUCCUCGUUCGUGUUUGCAUAGUGAUUGGUUGUUGUCGCGUGUGUUACGUUUGUGCAUCAUCGCAUAUGUGCCAUUCAUUAUUCACGUCUUGUCACCCUUGCAUAAUCUAGGAUAUCACACUAAUGCAUGCAUCUCAUUUCAUGCAUAGCAUUUGUUGCACAAUCAGGGCAUCAUGCUAAUUCUGGCAUCUCAUUCAUGCAUUAUAGUGACUGAACCGUCGGAGAACGAACCCGUUGAGCCUGCCGAGUCCGUCGAGCCUGAACCCGGAAUCACGUUCAUGGUCGAGCCCGAAGUUAACCCAGGCAAGCAGCUAAGCAUGAUUCUUUACUCCUAUUUAAUCUGAGUUAGUUAGUUACAUCACCGGGUAAUAUGGGGUUAUAUAGUAUGUAUGUAUUGCAUUUUGAUACCUAUUCUCUUGCAUUACCCUUCCUUGAAUUGUUAUCCAUGUCCUUGUCACUUGUUAGUCAGUUAAUAACUUAAUCUGAUUAGAUGCUUAGCCCUGCUUAGAAUACUCAUAUUGCUUGCUCGAAAGGAAUGGUUUGGAGUAUCACACUUACCUGAUUAUCCUUGAGUGCACUUGAGUAUCUGGGACAAGUGGAGUGCAGUAUCGAGAUUCGAGCGGAA
Molecule: long non-coding RNA, 1912 nt
Organism: Panicum virgatum (switchgrass)
Lineage: Eukaryota; Viridiplantae; Streptophyta; Magnoliopsida; Poales; Poaceae
Exons: 2
Source: RefSeq, a predicted model, not a curated record